RNAcentral lists this long non-coding RNA (200 nucleotides) under Manihot esculenta (cassava). Its description in RNAcentral is "long non-coding RNA (MESC_LNC000229)". Lineage: Eukaryota; Viridiplantae; Streptophyta; Magnoliopsida; Malpighiales; Euphorbiaceae. The record is from RNAcentral.
GCCAGGCCACGUUCGGGGGCCGAAAGUGCUUUCGCAUGCAUGCCAUGUUCGGCGGCCGAACUUGAGUUUCGGCGGCCGAACCUGGACUCCCCUUUUCUCAUGCUUUCGGGGGCCUAACGUGCCUCCAAAACGCAUGCAUGUUCGGCGGCCGAACUUGACUUUCGGCGGCCGAACCUGGGUUUUCCUCCAAAGACUUUUCA